CCUACGGGUGGCAGCAGUAGGGAAUCUUUCACAAUGGACGAAAGUCUGACCGAGCAACGCCGCGUGAGUGAAGAAGGUUUUCGGAUCGUAAAACUCCGUUGGUAGAGAAGCACGAUGGUGAGCGUGGAAAGCUCAUCAAGUGACGGUAACUACCCAGAAAGGGACGGCUAAAUACGUGCCAGCAGCCGCGGUAAUACGUAGGUCCCGAGCGUUGUCCGGAUUUAUUGGGCGUAAAGCGAGCGCAGGUGGUUUAUUAAGUAUGGUGUAAAAGGCAGGGGCUCAACCAUGGUAUGCAUUUGAAACUGGUAGUCUUGAGUGGAGGAGAGGAGAGUGGAAUUCCAGGUGUAGCGGUGAAAUGCGUAGAUAUAGGGAAGAACACCGGUGGCGAAGGCGGCUCUCUGGCCUGUAACUGACACUGAGGCUCGAAAGCGUGGGGAGCGAACAGGAUUAGAUACCCUUGUAGUC
This 465-nucleotide ribosomal RNA is filed under the name uncultured bacterium. RNAcentral describes it as "partial 16S ribosomal RNA". It matches the Rfam family "Bacterial small subunit ribosomal RNA", at positions 338 to 795 of the family's 1533-position model. The record is from RNAcentral.